This 6082-nucleotide long non-coding RNA is filed under the name Medicago truncatula (barrel medic). RNAcentral's name for it is "long non-coding RNA (MTRU_LNC004040)". Lineage: Eukaryota; Viridiplantae; Streptophyta; Magnoliopsida; Fabales; Fabaceae. The record is from RNAcentral.
CAAAACAAUGUCACAAACUGAACCAAUCCGUUUCGGCAUUCUCGGUUGCGCCGACAUAGCCCGCAAACUCUCACGCGCCAUUCUCCUCUCUUCCACCGCCACCAUCUCUGCCGUCGGCAGCCGCACUCUCUCCAAAGCAACCACCUUCGCAAAACUCAACAACUUCCCUCCCACCGCCAAAAUCUACGGCUCCUAUGAAGAAGUUCUUGAUGACCCUAAUGUUGACGCUGUUUACGUGCCGUUGCCGACUACGUUGCAUGUGAAAUGGGCGGUGGCUGCUGCGAAGAAGGGGAAGCAUGUUUUGUUAGAGAAGCCGGUGGCUGUGAGUGUGAAGGAGUUUGAUGAGAUUGUGAAGGUGUGUGAGGAGUGUGGGGUGCAGUUUAUGGAUGGGACUAUGUGGAUGCAUCAUCCUAGAACAGAGGUGAUGAAGGGGUUUUUGGAGGAUGGAGAGAAGUUUGGCAAGGUUAAAUCGGUAUGUGUUUGUGUUUUGGUUUUGAUAAUGUUGAUGUAUGAAUUAUGAACACUCCUUAGAUUAGGCAUGUCUCAGUGUCUGACACAUGUUGUCUCGAACUCGAACACCACACGACACCGACACACAUAUAGUUAACAUGAAUCAUGUGAUUCUCUCAAAUUAUUAGAAUUGUUGGGUGUUCGUAUCCGUGUUUCAUAGUGCAUGGAAUACCGAUGCAGACACGAAUAUACAGAUGAUGUUUAAUAAAGAGGAAUGCUAGCCAUACUCUUUUUCAAACAAAUCCAUGUGGAUUUCAUCCCCUUAUGUAGAACCCAUAUCUAAAAUGUGUGGGACCCUCACGAAUUUCAUGCAAUAAGAUAGUGAAUGUUAGGGAGUUUUGGAAAGAAAAUGUUGCUAGCACUCCUCUUUAAGAAAAUAGAACCGAUUUUGGGUUUCAAUUUGUAUGUGUUUGUGUUUUGAUGACAUUGAUAUAUGAAUCACUGAUGCAGACACUUGACACGAGACUGACAUAGUAAGAUAUUGAUGAUGAUUUAGGAGAAUAGAAGUGGUUUAGGGUAAUGUUUGUUACCGAUUAUAAAAAAUAUAUUUUGUCAUUUUAGAUUAAUUUUUAGAGAUUUAGGGUUCCUUUGUUACGGAUUAUAAAUAAUGUGAUUUUGAUAAUCAAUAAUUAAGAGAUUACAUUUUAGAGAUUUUUAUAAAAGAAGUUGUGUUUGUGUGGAGGAUGGGGAGAGGUUUGGGUAGGUUAAAUCAGUAUGUAUUUUGAUAAUGUUGAUGUAUGAAAUAUGAAUCACUUAUACAGACACCUAACACGAUACUGACAGAUAGACAUGCAUGGGCGGAUUUAAUAUGAAACAUGGUGUGGCAGUUGCCACACCAGUUUCAUGGUUAGCCGAGUGGUUUGAGUCUACUGAAUGAUGUGCGUGACCUGUGUUCAACUCUUGUUGAGAAGCGCUUUUGAACAAUUUAUUUUUUAUUUUUUUAAGUUAUUAGUAUUAAAAAGGGUGUUGCAGGGAAUCAAACCUGCAACACAAUGGUAAAAUGCUUCCACCUAUACCAAUUCACUAUAUUGUUUAAGGUAUCAAUUAUUUACUUUGUUAAUAAAUAUAGUUGAUUUGAAUAUUUUGCCACACCAAUAUCAAAUGUCUGGAUCCGCUCCUGUAGACAUGUAGAUAUUGACGAUAAUUUAAGAAAAUAGAAUCGAUUCGGGGCUUAAAACGGUGUGUGUUCAUGUUUUCUUAACAUUGAUGUAUGAAACUAGAAGUGAUUUAGGCUAUGUUUUUUUUUUUUUAUGGAUUUAUGAAACAUGAUUUUGAUGUUAUGGAUUAACUUUUAGAGAUUAGAGACUUUGUUACGGAUUAUAAAAAAGUGAUUUUGAUACUAAAUAAACAUAUGUAGUCUUUAAAGUAUAUAUAGCAUCAAGUACUAAUAUGACAGAUUUGUAUAAAUUAGGAGAAUGUAGGAGAAAGAUGAUACCUCAGAUACUGAAAUUUGGAUUUCUUCAUAAGACUUUGCCUAAUUAUCUUAAGCUGAUAGUCUUUGAAAACUCAAGCAUUUCUGAAAACAUUCUUCAGCUGAGCAUGCUCUUAAGAAUGUGAAAACUCAAGCAUUUCUGAUCUGGUGAGAUACAAAGGGACUAAAUUGAUUUUCUGUUAUCAACUUCAUUUCGUAAAUUUGGAGGAUUAAAUCGUCCUGCUAUAGAAUUUAGAUAACCAAAAUGUUCAGUUACUCUUUUUCAAAUUCUGUUUUUGAACAAUAGUUACAAGUUUAAGUUGGCUUAGUGUAUAGAGAGUGGUUCUGUGCUUAAAGAAAAUUAUAAAGAGUUAAAAAAUUCCUGGUUAAUGUCAAAUAAUGUUUCAUUGAUAAAAUCGAAGUAUUGCUCUGUGUUAUUCUAGUUGUCUUCUCCUUGAUACUUCAUUAUUGAGUUGAGCUGUUGUUUGUCUGACACUGAAAUCCUGCUGCAUGCCUGGUCUCGUUUCUGAAUCAAAUUAUGACUUUCUAUAAGACAUUUAAGAAUUAACCUAUGAAGCACGGGUUCGGACACGGACAUUGAACACGACACGGACACUGACACGUCGACACCGCUAAUAAUUUGAGAAAAUAACGUAAUUCAGUGUAAUUAUAUGUGUCGAUGUCUGACACGCCUAACCUGAGGAAUGUCUAUGCUUCAUAGUUACUUAACUAUAAGCUAGAUCCAAAAUUAAGAACCAAAACAGAAAGUUAUGCCUUUGAUGUUAGUCUAUCGGGGUCCCUUGCCCUUAUGUAAAUUUGAAAAUUUUAAAGUUGUUGUAUAUAUGUGUGUAUAUUUCAAUCACAAGCUUAGACAUCAAGUUUUCAAGCACCAGUUAUGAUUCUGAAUUAUGUUCUAAUGAUUGUUAUAUCUUUUGCAUACAUGUUCUGCACUGAUAUAUGGUUUUAUUUGACAUUGCACAGAUUCACACCUGUUUUACAUUUGGUGCUGAUCCUGACUUUCUUGAGAAUGACAUCCGCGUGAAGCCGGAUCUCGACGCUCUCGGCUCUCUUGGUGACGAAGGAUGGUAUUGUGUUAGGGCAAUUCUGUGGGCUUACAACUACGAAUUACCAAAAACGGUAUUAGCCACGCGCGAACCAGUGCUUAAUAAAGCUGGAGUAUUAUUAUCUUGCGGUGCUUCUUUAUACUGGCAAGAUGGAAGAGUAGCAACAUUCUAUUGCUCUUUCUUAUCUAACCUAACAAUGGAUAUAACUGCUGUUGGGACAAAAGGAACACUUCAUGUUCAUGAUUUUAUCAUCCCUUAUGAAGAAAAGAAAGCAUCAUUUUAUGCAGCUUCAGAAUCAAGCUUUGAUGAUCUUGUCACUAAAUGGGGUUCACAGCCGAGUAAGCACGUAAUAGAAAACGAUCUACCUCAGGAGGCUCUUAUGGUAACUGAAUUUUCUCGUUUGGUGGCAGAAAUCAAAUCAAAAAACGCGAAACCUGAGAAGAAAUGGCCAACUAUUAGUAGGAAAACACAACUGAUAUUGGACGCCGUGAAGGCUUCGAUUGAUAAGGGUUUUGAGCCUGUACAGAUUCAGGAAUGAAAUUGUUUCGAAUAUAUCUUCACCCUGCCUAACUCGGAUCUUUGUUCCGUUAUUAGUGCGUCGCAAUAAGAAAAUAAUAUUUCUGGUGGAAAUGAACACUUUGUAUGUUCUUCAACUUAAAGGAGGAUGGUGAUGAAUGUAGUGAAUAACUAUUUCUAAGUUCAUUACCAGUUUCAAUAAGUGAGUAAUUUAUUGUGGAAGUUAUAUUUUGCUAUGAAAUCAAUUGAUUAAAGCAAUAAAAUAAUUGGAUGAGGUGGCUAGUUUUGAUUGGUGUGUGUUAAAAGAGUGUGUUAGGGAGUGUGACCCUAGCAUUUCUCUUAACUUAAUUACUCCCUCCGUUACUAAUUAUAAGAAAAAUUGACUUUUUAAGUUCAUUCAAUUAAUGAUGUAUGUGAUCCACAAUAUAAAUCACGUACAUCAAAAAAUUAAGGCAAAAUUAUAUUUUUAGUCCCUUAACUUAAUUUCAGGUAACAAUUUGGUCAUUUAUCUUUUUUUCAUUUCAAUUUGGUCCUUUUUGUCCAUUUUUAUAUACAUUUUCAAGCUUCAAAUCUAAUAUUCUUAUGCAAACAUAGACGAGGAUCAUAUAUUUGAAGAUUGAAAGACCAUAAGAAAAUAAAAUCAUGAAUUUUAAGCUUAAAAAUUCAUAUGAAAAUAGACAAAAAAGACCAAAUUGAAAUGAAAAAAAGAUAAAAGACCAAACUGUUACCUGAAAUUAAGUUAGGGACUAAAAGUGUAAUUUUACCUAAAAUUAAUUGAAUGAACUUAAAAAGUCAAUUUUAUUUAUAAUUAAUAACAGAGGGAGUACAUAAUAACAUUGACAAUAAACCCAACAAACAUGGUUUAAGUGGACAAACACUUAAAAAACCCAUACAAUUUUUUAUACUCCCUCCGGUCCUAUUUAUAAGAGAAUUUUGGGUCAACAAAAGUUGAUGUAUCUAGUUAAAAAUUCAGUCCAAAUACAUUCACUUUUGUUGACCUAAAUUUCUCUUAUAAAUAGGACCGAAGGUAGUAUUAUUUUUCUAUGAAAACAUUCCUUGAGCUGUGUGCAUUUAAUUAGGUGUUAGUUAUAAUUGUAGUCAUUAAUAUAAUGAUUUGGGAGAGAAGACAAUUACUCCCUCCGGUCUCAAAUGUAGGGAAAAAAACAAAAAAAUUUGUGGUCUCAGAUGUAAGAAAAAGUAUAGUAAAAGCAACCUAAUAAAUGCUACUAUUCCAAUUUUACCCCAUCUCUAUGAGUUCAAAAGUCACUUUCAUUAAUUAUUACUAAAGCAUGACAAGGGCAAAAUUGAAAAGUUGUACUUUUUUAACAUGACUUCGAUGUAAUCAUUUCAUUUUUUUAAUUGGUGUUUUUUUUUUUUUUUUUUCCUACAUUUGAGACCGGAGGGAGUAGGUGUUAGUUGUAAUUGUCAUUAAUAUUAAUAUGAUGAUGAUAUGAGAGGAAACAUAAGUAGGUGUUAGUUUUAAUUGUCAUUAAUAUGAUGAUGAUUUGAGAGGGAACAUAAUUAGGUGUUAGUUGUAAUUGUCAUUAAUAUGAGGAUUUGAGAGGGAAAUAUGGGACUAGGGUUGCAAAAGUGCUCAUCAGAUUGCAUAGCAUUAAUAUAUGAUAAAUUAUAAAUAAAACAUUAGCAAAUUUAUGAAUUUAAAAAUAAUAUAUGAAAGAAAAGAAAUAAUAUAUGAAAGACAUAUUAAAUUAAUAUAUUUAAAUUAUAAAUAUUUUAAAUAUCAAUUGAUAUAAAUUUAUUAUGAAUUAAGAAUACCCUUUGAUGUCAUUUUAUAUUUAUCAGUUAAUUGCACCGUUAAUUUUACAAAAACAUUUUAAGUAUUAGCCAUCAGCUAUAAUUUAUUAGCUACCUUGCCCAUAUCCGCUAUUUUUACAAAAAGAGUGUCCGAGUAUGAGUUCGAACUUCCUAAAAAAAAAGUAUGAAUAUGAAUAGGAAAAUGCUGCAUCUCGCGAAACAAUUUAACGCUACAAAAUCACGACACAUAAAUAUGAAUGUGGAGCCCCUUUUUUAACUAUUGCGGGACCUUUUUUCAUCUGCCACCCCAUGUUUUCAAGUAAAUAACAAAUCUCAUGGUUGGAAAUUAUUCACGACAGCUCGUGAAUUUUGCUCUCGUGUUUAAUAGGUUUUAGUUAUAAUUUCAAAAAGAUAGUUUUUUCAAACAAUAUAAUUAAAUAUGAUAAAAGUUGGUCUUUUUGCUUAUAAUUUAAGAUAAAGAAAAUGAAUUUUUUUUUCUUAUAUGAGGGAGGGAGUACAGUGUACUAUUAUCACCAUCAUAAUGUCACAAACAGAGCCAAUUCGUUUCGGCAUUCUCGGUUGCGCGGACAUAGCCCGCAAACUCUCACGCACCAUUCUCCUCUCUUCCACCGCCACAAUCUCCGCCGUCGGCAGCCGCACUCUCUCCAAAGCAACCACCUUCGCAAAACUCAACAACUUCCGUCCCACCGCCAAAGUCUACGGCUCUUACGAAGAAGUUCUUGACGACCCUAAUGUUGACGCUGUUUACUUGCCGUUACCGACGACGUUACAUGUGAAAUGGGCGGUGGCUGCUGCGAAGAAGGGG